Zea mays is the source of this 228-nucleotide long non-coding RNA. RefSeq lists it as uncharacterized. The record is from RefSeq and is a predicted model, not a curated record. The transcript has 3 exons. Lineage: Eukaryota; Viridiplantae; Streptophyta; Magnoliopsida; Poales; Poaceae.
AAUGGACCCAAAGCUUGAAGCCUGUGCCGGUGAUUGUUCGUUGCAGCCUGUGCCGGUGAUUGUUCGUUGCAGGUGCUGCGGCCGAGUGAAGCUACCCCACUUCUAUUGCUGCAGUGGAGAAAGAGGAAACCCAAGCGAGUCGAACUCAUAAAUGUUUUGUUUUCCUACUUUGCUCACUAUGCUACGUCUGAAAUCUGGACAUCGUAAUACCAAUGAAAUAAAUUGUCA